AUUUUGCACGCGGUGCCUCACUAGCAGUCUUUUGCGAUAAUUGAUGGAGCAAAUUAGUGGUUACGUCUUUGAUUGCACUCAAAUUAAUGAGAAAUUUUGGUAGAAUAUGCAAGAGCUAUAAAAAUAUUUGCUACUUUAGCCUAGAGAUUUUGUAGGCGUUAUUCGAUGUCGUCAUCAUUUCUGUAAGAUGCAAUACAAUAGUUACGUGUCUGCCUAUUGAAAUUAAGGGUAUGUAAAAAUAAAAAAAAUAAAGUCCGAAUAAGGCUGUCUAAAGACUUAGUUUCGUUCUAAGAGCGAGCCCUCUGAAGCAACGCCUAAUGGCUCGAGUAUUGGAUGUAAAACUUAAAAUAUCUAAUUUAUUCGACGCUAUCAAGACUGUCUAAUAUUUAUUUUAUUCGAGGCUAUCAAUACUAUCUAAGGUGACUAACAACAAGUUAAGAAUUAAACGUUCGGUAAGUGUUUGAUACGAAGCAAGUGAUAUAGGCCGCUUCACUUGCACUGGAAUAUUUUGUUUACAAAACGUCAGAUUAGGGUUUUUCCUAAUUUAUGAAAUUAGCUGUUUGGGACUUAGUAUAAUUUUGAUUUUGUUGAUUUAUGUGGCUGUUGAAGCUAAUGAUGUACUUGCUUCAAUCGUGCUAAUAAUAAAAAUAGUAAAAGCCCAAUAGCAUCCGAGCUAAUAAAAUUUCACUUCCUCAGACUUAGCUAGGGUACAUAAACGACGCAAACCUAUACUAAGAACGUGGUUUUGACUGAUAGGCUUUUUAUGCAAUUUGAUUUUUAUUCGCUUUGACGGAAGCUAGUGUACUUUUGUCACUAGUUAUCGUCGGUUCAGUGGGGUGUAAUUUUGAUCCAUGUAUCCAAACCAGGAUUUUCGUUGGACUUGUGUUUUGAAAAUUCCCGUUUUUUGAUGCGCAUCCAUUUACCAAUACCGAUUUUCAAUAUUCAGGGCUGACUGAAUCGUUCUGGAACGCAUCUAGCGUUUUUUCUUGCACCAAUAAUGUUUGAGUUCCAUCGUACUGAAAUAUGAAUCACGCUUUUUUUCUAGUAACAUCGUGGCGGAGCAGCGUCUUCAGUGAAGACUGAGACAUUUUUCUGUGAAUAACUUUAGAGCUUAUUUUAUUUAGAAACGUUUUCAGAGUUCGACCACCGUGCCUGACUAAUCUUGAAUACCUGGCGCGACUUAAAACAGUUCUUCAAUUGUAGGAAGGCAAUAUAGAUAGGCUUCCUAAGCAAGUUUACAGUCAAAAAAGCAUAGUCUGUACCAUUAGCAGCAAUCUUACAUAUGCCAACAAAUUAUUAAACAAUGGCUAUACGUUGUGGGUAACGGUUAGGCCUUAGAAAAUCGAUAAAAACAUCUGUCUCAAAGUUAAUGUUGUCGACACUGAAAUUUCAGGCUGACAAUGAUUAUUCCACAACAACCAAAUUGAGCUUUUCUGUUCACAGACUAUUCCAGAAAGCCUCAAAUGCGCUUAUCGGCACUAAAAAUUUCGUUUUUUUCUACAGACCAUGGGUCUGUCUUGGUUGAUAUAUCGUAUCGUCAAGGAGUAUUUUUCCUAAAGAUAUGCAAAACAAUUUGUUAAUGAAAAGUUAUAUUUUUUUAACUAUGACGAUUCUCUAUAAACAGAUUUAAUGAUUGUCAUCGGUGAUAGUUACGAGUCAGUCUUCUUUCGGGUGUCGAGUAUUCAAUGAUAAAUCCACCUAACCUGGCAGGGUUUUCGAGCGUAUUAUUCAUGUUCAGUGUUAAGUGUUUACGCAUGAAUUUUAUGUCGUUUAACUAUUGUUUUAUGCCUUUUCACUUCAAUGAUAGGCUUUCAUUGUUUGCUAAUAAGAUAAAAUACUAACAGGGAAUUCUGUUCUGACUAAAUAUGACCGAUUUAGAACAUUUGUGCGACACUAAUGGUAGUAAAUAGAUGGCGGUCAUUGUUGUAAACAAUGAAUACACCAUUCAGUUAUGAUUUUCUGUGUGGAAAAUAACUGAUCUGUCUCUCCACAAGCAUCACUAACGUGGCGUUCAACGGAAUUUGUUGCGAAUUACGCAAAAAAAUUACAAUGGGAACGUCCUAUCUUUUUCAAUGUAUUAAGCAAACAACACCUGACUCCCGAUAUGAAAUAGACAUGCCCGGAUUCGGACCUAAACCGCCACGUGUCCCUGACAUUAGCAGGCAAACGCGAUCAUGAGAACAACGUGGAACCUAAGCAACGGCAAAGGUAGUCGCUAGCAGUUUCAUCUGAACGAUUCAAUGGCUUUUAAGAUCAACUCAUCGCUUGCGGAACACUUCUUGGUGGAUAAGACUUGGUCAUCCGAUCUCUCGAUGACUUAAUAUAUAUUAAUAAUGCUGAUAAGGCGUAAAUGAUCGCUUGAAUUGUUAUUAUUCCUGUAGUUGUUAAAAGAGGCAACUCAAAAAGGAAGUCUGGUUUUUGGGGUAGCACGUCUAGUAGUUGCUAGUGUUUAAUUUAAACGCAUUUGUAACAGUGAAAUUGCAUUAUUGGCCGUCAUCGUUGCAUGAUAUAUUACAAAAAAGAAAAGAAAACCAUUGGCGAUAGUGGUACAAUGCGUUAUUUACAAGGGUUGUUUACAGGCAAUUAUCCACAGCUUACAACUGUGGAUAAUUGCUUGUAAACAAAAAUGUUUCAACCCAAUGGAGGAUCGUAGAAAAAGUGAUUAAAAGAAAUAUCGACGUGUAGACGACAGUGUAAUUGUUUUUACCAGAUUUUAUGAACACUAAAGCCCCUUACUGAUGAUAUGCAAAGAAAGCUGAAGAUCUUGGUGCAGAAUAAAUGUUACUCAUGGUAGUAAAGUUUUACCUUGAUUUAACUCUAACAAAAACGAUGACUUGUACCACCCAGCAAUAUAUAAGGAUAAAAAAAAAUAUCACAUUUUUAUAUUUACAGCAAGCAUUUAGCCAAAGUUGCUUUGCCGAAAUGCUCGAUAUCUCCUUCGCUGUAGUCUGCGAGGGCAAUCGAUCAAACUUAUAAAAGAGUGGAAAUGAUAUUGUUCGACAUUUUGGUACUCUUGUUUUGCAACUGACAAAAUAAAAACAAUUUUGACUCUUUUUUUUUAUUCGAUUGUUUUUGUUAUCGUAGUUAAAAAACGAAUUGAUUAUUACGGAUAUAUUACAGCUGUAUACUAAAUAGUGUUGCUUUACUGCCAAAUAUUUAUAUACUAUUUGUAUAUCUAUCGAAGUAUUCAGUGGCGGAAAAAUAUAAACGAUUUUUUAGGUGCUUUCGAAUUUCAGACAAUAUGAGUCAGUGCUGGUACCAUAAAAGCCGAGACUUGGCACUAGUAGAUAUUCUUUAAUUGUUGGAAAGGCUUUAUAAAUGCCUUAAAAGUAAAUGAAACAUUCGCUAUAAUUUAAAUUUUAUUACGAUAAACGAACAAAUGCUGCUCAGGCUCAUAUGGAAACGCCAACAUGCGUUGUCGAAAAAGAAACGGUCCAGAGAUGGUUCUGUCGCUUUCGCUCGGGAAGUUUCGAUAUGAAAGCUGCCCUCGUAAUGGUUGACCAAUCACGAAAAAAGUUAAGCUACACUGACACGUGAGUAGCCAUGGCGCCGCCUGAAAACUAAGCAUCCACCACCGAAGACUUCAAAGCCAUUUGGAAAAAGCUAGCUACAAAAGGAGGGCUGAUGUUUGGGUGCUAUACGACUUGACGAAACAGAAUUCACUCAAUCGUGUUUCCAUCCCUAAGGCUUCACAGAAAUGCAACAAAAUCGAGGUUUUUCGUUUGAUGACGGGUUUAUAAGAAGUCGAUUAUAUAAGACAAUGAGCGAAAAAGGUCAUAGCCACAGCGGGAAAAGGUUCACAAAAACUGCUUGGACUGAUCCGAAAGAAGGUUAUGCUAUAUAUUUGACAGCUUUGGAAUACAAUCGUGUAUAUGAGCUGCUGUCGCUUGACAAAGUAAUUUAUUUGAAUUUCUGCUGCCAACAACAAACAUGAUUAUAAGAAGCUACUGAAAAAAUCGAUUUAUACAAGUGGACAAAAGCGCAUCGUAUUCCACCACUACAGUGCCAGAUAACACAAAUUUUUAGCUAACCAGCAAACAUUGCAAGAUUUGAGGAGAACUUUUAAUAAUAAUAAUUUAACUUAAAAUUUUGCAUCAUCAGACUAUCAGCAUCUGUUUCGGUUUCUGCAAAACCCUGUGGAUUGUUUUAAUUUUAUUUUAGUAAAAUGGCGCAAAAAUUACUUGUGACAGUUUUUCAUUCACAAACUAAAGACGUUUUAUAGUGAUUGGAUUAUGAUGAUAUUUGAAAAAUGGCAAAUGAUCAUCGAUCAGAAUAUCUCAUAUUAAGUUUUAAAAUAUUAUUAAAAAAUUGCUUUAAUUUUGGAUGAAAAACCGUCAAUACCUUUUCGACAACCUAAUACUUUGCCAUACAUUGGUUAGUGUUACUUAAUAAUGAUCUCUUAUCUAUGUUAUCUAAUAAAUAACUGACGUUUCUCGUUUCUCUGGUGUUUGCACUUUGCCUGAUUGCGCCCA
This is a long non-coding RNA of Varroa destructor (honeybee mite), 4472 nucleotides long. The record is from RefSeq and is a predicted model, not a curated record. NCBI's taxonomy places the organism in Eukaryota, Metazoa, Arthropoda, Arachnida, Mesostigmata, Varroidae.